CCUACGGGAGGCAGCAGUAGGGAAUCUUCCGCAAUGGACGAAAGUCUGACGGAGCAACGCCGCGUGAACGAUGAAGGCCUUCGGGUCGUAAAGUUCUGUUGUUAGGGAAGAACAAGUGCUAGUUAAAUAAGCUGGCACCUUGACGGUACCUAACCAGAAAGCCACGGCUAACUACGUGCCAGCAGCCGCGGUAAUACGUAGGUGGCAAGCGUUGUCCGGAAUUAUUGGGCGUAAAGCGCGCGCAGGCGGUUUCUUAAGUCUGAUGUGAAAGCCCCCGGCUCAACCGGGGUAGGGUCAUUGGAAACUGGGAAACUUGAGUGCAGAAGAGGAAAGUGGAAUUCCAAGUGUAGCGGUGAAAUGCGUAGAGAUUUGGAGGAACACCAGUGGCGAAGGCGACUUUCUGGUCUGUAACUGACGCUGAGGCGCGAAAGCGUGGGGAGCAAACAGGAUUAGAUACCCUGGUAGUCCACGCUGUAAACGAUGAGUGCUAAGUGUUACGAGGGUUUUCCGCCCUUUAGUGCUGAAGUUAACGCAUUAAGCACUCCGCCUGGGGAANCGGUCGCAAGCUGAAACCUUAAANGAAUUGACGG
This 590-nucleotide ribosomal RNA is filed under the name uncultured bacterium. RNAcentral describes it as "bacterial SSU rRNA". It matches the Rfam family "Bacterial small subunit ribosomal RNA", at positions 338 to 916 of the family's 1533-position model. The record is from RNAcentral.